Molecule: ribosomal RNA, 253 nt
Filed under: uncultured bacterium
Lineage: Bacteria
Description: partial 16S ribosomal RNA
Rfam family: Bacterial small subunit ribosomal RNA
Source: RNAcentral
UACGAAGGGGGCUGGCGUUGUUCGGAAUUACUGGGCGUAAAGGGCGCGUAGGCGGCCCGAUCAGUCAGAUGUGAAAGCCCCGGGCUCAACCUGGGAACUGCAUUUGAUACUGUCGGGCUUGAGUUCCGGAGAGGAUGGUGGAAUUCCCAGUGUAGAGGUGAAAUUCGUAGAUAUUGGGAAGAACACCCGUGGCGAAGGCGGCUCUCUGGGACGGUACUGACGCUGAGACGCGAAAGCGUGGGGAGCGAACAGG